CAUCACGUAGUGACUGAGCUCCUCCUUCCGGCGUCAACUACUGAUGGCCAAAGUGCCAAGCGCCCUCUGCUGAAAGCAGGACGAGCCAGAGGCGAGGGCCACUGCCACAAACAGGAGGACAGACGAUCCUACAUCCAGAUGGAAUCCCCACAGAAUCAGUAACUUCUCAUUUAGAGUUCCGCUUCAUCCACGCCGUGGAAAAGGCAGGAGGGCAGGAAGGUCAGCUCGAUUAUUCUUCCCCGCUCUCUCGGAAAACAAAAUGGCGUUCAGCUGACAUGAAAGGUUGGAGAAAGAUUUCAGGAGUUAAGGCUUCUUUGACAUUAAAGUGGGGAUGGAGGAAUGUUUCGAGCCGAACUAAAAGCCCAUUAACGUUCAGCUCCCCUCCAGCUAUGUUAGAUCAACCAUAAUAAGUUGCGAGUUUAUGGACCUUUUGCUCCCCAAAUGUCUACCAUGUU
Oryzias melastigma (Indian medaka) is the source of this 455-nucleotide long non-coding RNA. RefSeq lists it as uncharacterized. The record is from RefSeq and is a predicted model, not a curated record. The transcript has 4 exons. NCBI's taxonomy places the organism in Eukaryota, Metazoa, Chordata, Actinopteri, Beloniformes, Adrianichthyidae.